AUGAACGCUGGCGGCGUGCCUAAUACAUGCAAGUCGAGCGAACGGACGAGAAGCUUGCUUUUCUGAUGUUAGCGGCGGACGGGUGAGUAACACGUGGAUAACCUACCUAUAAGACUGGGAUAACUUCGGGAAACCGGAGCUAAUACCGGAUAAUAUUUUGAACCGCAUGGUUCAAAAGUGAAAGACGGUCUUGCUGUCACUUAUAGAUGGAUCCGCGCUGCAUUAGCUAGUUGGUAAGGUAACGGCUUACCAAGGCAACGAUGCAUAGCCGACCUGAGAGGGUGAUCGGCCACACUGGAACUGAGACACGGUCCAGACUCCUACGGGAGGCAGCAGUAGGGAAUCUUCCGCAAUGGGCGAAAGCCUGACGGAGCAACGCCGCGUGAGUGAUGAAGGUCUUCGGAUCGUAAAACUCUGUUAUUAGGGAAGAACAUAUGUGUAAGUAACUGUGUACAUCUUGACGGUACCUAAUCAGAGAGCCACGGCUAACUACGUG
RNAcentral lists this ribosomal RNA (496 nucleotides) under uncultured bacterium. RNAcentral's name for it is "partial 16S ribosomal RNA". It matches the Rfam family "Bacterial small subunit ribosomal RNA", at positions 29 to 507 of the family's 1533-position model. The record is from RNAcentral.